RNAcentral lists this long non-coding RNA (386 nucleotides) under Hordeum vulgare. RNAcentral describes it as "long non-coding RNA (HVUL_LNC014282)". Lineage: Eukaryota; Viridiplantae; Streptophyta; Magnoliopsida; Poales; Poaceae. The record is from RNAcentral.
AGGGAUAGUUUUAAGCUCAUAAUCUCGCAAUGAGUGCUUGUAAUAUGGGUUUAGGUAGGCAUGUGUGGCUAGGCAUGCCUCAUGAUCUAUUGCUUGUACCCUGAACAUUCUUGAUCAAUAAAGUGGCGAGAUUUCACAAAAAAAAAGUCUAGGGACGUCCGGUUCGGAGGCUUCAUCGUCAAAUUGCCCGCACUUAAAAAGCUUAUAUAUUACACCUGGGAAGCCCGACAUUAGCCCAACCUUCAAGGCCAAGGGGGGCUGGUGUCAGCUUUGCUCUAGCAUAUAGUCAUGGCCUCUAGGGGUCCGGCUCGGAAGCUUCAUCGUUAAAUGCCCCCCGCUUAAAAGGCUUAUAUAUUACACCUUGCGUGUUCAACCUUUCAAUGACC